Molecule: long non-coding RNA, 915 nt
Filed under: Cricetulus griseus (Chinese hamster)
Lineage: Eukaryota; Metazoa; Chordata; Mammalia; Rodentia; Cricetidae
Description: lncRNA (ENSCGRG00015042191.1)
Source: RNAcentral
UGGGAAGUGAGGGGCAGCAACCUCUGCGUUUAUCCUUUUCCUUCCUGCUUGUUUCAGUGAGCAGGAGCUGGAGGGGGAAAGGAGUCUGUUCCUCCAACUGAGCUGAGGAGAGGCCACUGUACCACCUGGGCUGCUGCUGCUAGGCUGUUUCUUCAAAGAUAAUAAACCUUGAUCUUAUUGAAGCCAGAGUCAUGAAGAGGGUCUCUUUUCUCCCUCUGCUUCCUGCUUUGACAGAUCCCUUUCCUGAAGCAAUGAGGGUAGAACGCUUUGUCCCAAAGCCCCAGGUGGCUUUCAGGAUGAAGACUGUUCUGUGCAUGUCCCUGGAGCGUCCUGCUUCUGGCUGGGUACUGGAUGGAACCCCUGCAGCUGCCCUCUACUCGCAGCAGUCUUCCCACUGGCCACCUCUGAGCCCCCAGUUCAACCCUACUUGACCCAGCAGACAUCUGUCUCCCCCAGGCUGUGGAUCCAAGGAAGGUGGAGACCACAUCUGUUGAGCAGCUUCCAGCAGCACCUGGUGCAUGAGACUGCUUUAGUCGGUUGGAAAAAGUGCUGCUUGAAGGACUGGCCCCGACAGAUGACAAUGCCACUUUGUCAAGAAAAGGCUUGUUUUCUCUAAGGACAUGAAGCCAGAAAAGGGGACAGUGCCCCUUGAGGACCAGAUGGGAGCAAGCAUGUCCCUCUGUGUCCUGAGCUCACAGCUCUGAGGAUGAGCAGAAAUGUCAUUCAUCAUUGCAGAGCUCCUUGUUGGCAAGUGGUUAGAGCUGACUGCUCACAUGUUAAUCCCACUGGAUGACAGUAAAGACCAUUAACCAAAAUGUGUUAGUCAAAUUAAGCAAGAUUUAUUUUCUGCCAGACAGGGCUGUCUCCCUAACAUGGGGUUUGAAAGAACAGCAUGCAACACAGGAGAAAGUGGGG